RNAcentral lists this ribosomal RNA (484 nucleotides) under uncultured bacterium. RNAcentral describes it as "partial 16S ribosomal RNA". It matches the Rfam family "Bacterial small subunit ribosomal RNA", at positions 30 to 507 of the family's 1533-position model. The record is from RNAcentral.
AUUGAACGCUGGCGGCAGGCCUAACACAUGCAAGUCGAGCGGUAGAGAGAAGCUUGCUUCUCUUGAGAGCGGCGGACGGGUGAGUAAUGCCUAGGAAUCUGCCUGGUAGUGGGGGAUAACGUUCGGAAACGGACGCUAAUACCGCAUACGUCCUACGGGAGAAAGCAGGGGACCUUCGGGCCUUGCGCUAUCAGAUGAGCCUAGGUCGGAUUAGCUAGUUGGUGGGGUAAUGGCUUACCAAGGCGACGAUCCGUAACUGGUCUGAGAGGAUGAUCAGUCACACGGGAACUGAGACACGGUCCAGACUCCUACGGGAGGCAGCAGUGGGGAAUAUUGGACAAUGGGCGAAAGCCUGAUCCAGCCAUGCCGCGUGUGUGAAGAAGGUCUUCGGAUUGUAAAGCACUUUAAGUUGGGAGGAAGGGCAGUAAAUUAAUACUUUGCUGUUUUGACGUUACCGACAGAAUAAGCACCGGCUAACUCUGUG